AGGCUUCUCCGAGGGAUUGUCCGGGCGGUUUUAGAAAAAGAUCUGGUUUACUUCAAAAACGAAAAUCUGUAGAUGAGACGCAAUUUGAUGCUGAAAAAUUGUUUCGAUUCCUGCUGUACAACUUACGACAAGAAGAACGUAGACGAUUAGAAGAUUCCAGUCCGUUAAACAUGCUGGGUUUACGAUCAAACAGAAUAUUAUCACAGGAACAGAGCAGAUAAUUGCGACCGUCCACGGACCCGUGGUCGACAGCAACCACCACCACCAAGACGCUUUAAUCAAAAUCAUCUGUAACCUUUGAACCACCAUCGACUGAAAGCUUCUAGAAAACCAUUUCAUCACAAAGGAUCAUCAACAUUAUGAUUUAGAAUAUGUUUCAUUUAUUAUUUAAAAAUUGCAAGAAUCCAAAAUUCAUAUUGAUCACUAAAUGUCUCUAAAUCUAGCUCGAUUUUGUUAAGAGAGGUUUCUUUGUCAGGGAUUCUGAAAUAACAUGAAAGUCGUAUUUAUUAAUAAAAAGUCUAAAUUUGUCCUCAUUUUAGACAGCAUAGUUCUUGAAUCUUUUUGCUAAGUAUCAUUUAGCAUCACUAUGAAAUUUGUUUUCUGAUAAUGUAUAGAUGGUCGUGUACACGCUUUAAUGAGUUUAUAUCUAAAAUAUUAUUAUUUCAAAGAAAAUUUUUUAUUUAUUAUGUUCAACUAAUAGCAUGUCUAGUAGAUAAAACUGGUGGUAGUUGAUGAUUAAAGCAUCAAUCUAGGGGAUUUGCCAAUGAUAAAUGGUAUUGCAUAAAAGACUGUAGUUUUCAUUUCUUAUCUAAAUUUCUUUCUGUCUAUUUCGUUUAAUUUUGGCCCUUGAAACAAUAUUGAAUACUAUUUUAUAUAGAGAACAACAAGAGUAAUUAUUAUGUUUCAUAUUUCUGUCUGCAUUAUGAACACUUCUUUAAGCUGCAGGUUUGAGUUAUAUAAUUCAUUGCCAAUACCGAUCAUAGAUUAUUAGAUAGAUUGAUCAGUCUCUCAGUGUACAUACAAGAGUAUGCUUACCCCUGCCAGAACUCUUUUGAUACAACUUCACCAUUGCGUAGUAAAAUCUGAGUAAUUUCUGACUUACAAUAACUCGAUUUUUUCUAAGGACUCUUCCGGAAAGAGUAUGCUUACGCCUUCCGGGACCCUUUAUACAACUUCAGUAUUGGGUAUUUAUUACCGAAGCAAUUUCUCAUUAGAAGAUUUACGUACCAUUAAAACUCUUUGUAAUAGCUCACCACUUAAGAUUUACUGCGUACAAUAUUGUGUUAAUUUUCUCUAAAUUUUUCUUAAUUUGUUCACAUGAUUCGUUAGUAUUAAUAUCCGUUUCUACAUAAUUUAAAUAACUUUAUUAUGUGCUUACAAUUGAUAGUUAGUUUCACGGUAACGCUGUUAUCGGCAUACUUUUACUUUUAAGAUAAAGAAAAUAAUAAAAGCCGUCUUUUAGUGCUCGGCAUCGUCUGGACAAAAUAUUAGAAUUGUCACAUAUCUGUCAGAUUAUUCUACCAUGUAAAAUAUUUCUCAGACAAAUAAUUGAAUUGCUUGAGAGAUGUAAUAACCACGUGGCAAAAUUGAAUCAAAGUCCCAUUCAAAAUUUAUAACCUUAAAAAUAUAUCAGACAUUGCACACCUUAUAAUGGAAUAAAAUGACCAUUUUAUGACCAAGUUAAGAGAUCAACAAGACUGGAUUUGAAAUAACAUGACCAUAUAAUGAAAAGGUUAGUACGAUCCGAUUUCAUAGAGCAAAGGGAUAUAAGCGUAAAGAUAUAAUUCAACAACAUUUAUGCUUAGUAAACAGUUGAAUUUGUUCAGAGAUUAGACGGAAUAAAUUUAUUUUAGUAUCGUAUUUAGAACAUUAAACAUUAUUAUUUGAUGUAAAACUUAUUGAUUUAUUUUAAGAUUAAACAUUAUUAAACAUUUGAUGUAAAAGGUAUUGUUUUAUUUUAAGACUAAACAUUAUUAAUUAUUUGAUGUAAUUAUUCCAUUAUAUAUUCAUAUAAAUAUAAAUAUACAUAUUCUGCUAAACACCUAUAUUAAAGCCUCGGUUGACUUUUA
Long non-coding RNA from Patella vulgata (common limpet), 2069 nucleotides. RefSeq lists it as uncharacterized. The record is from RefSeq and is a predicted model, not a curated record. The transcript is spliced from 5 exons. NCBI's taxonomy places the organism in Eukaryota, Metazoa, Mollusca, Gastropoda, Patellidae.